This 530-nucleotide long non-coding RNA is filed under the name Setaria italica (foxtail millet). RNAcentral describes it as "long non-coding RNA (SITA_LNC004481)". The record is from RNAcentral. Lineage: Eukaryota; Viridiplantae; Streptophyta; Magnoliopsida; Poales; Poaceae.
UCGGCACCUGACAGCAGUUCCAUGUCCAAUCUGAAGAGGUAUUGACAUGCUAAAUUUUGUUAGUAAGAUAGUCAGGAUGUGAUACAUAGGAGAAGCAGUACAUAUCUGGAUGUUACCUACAUAUAAUGAUGUAAAGUGGUGCUGCAGUGUAAAAAAAUCAUAUGCAAGGUGAUUCCUCAUAUCAGACCAAUGGUACUCGCCAGUGGUGAGUAAUGGAUGGGGGAGCUACUCCCCGAUUACCGGAACCCACAGGUUGCAGUAUACCAAGCAUCUUCCAAGCCCAGUUGAUCCUAUUGUCAAUUGUCAGUUUCCAGCUGCUUUUGGUAAAAAGAAAUGUAGUCACAUAUAUGGCAAUGAAGAUUCAUCGAGUUUUCAGAUGAUGUAUGCCAAUGACUGGUUAGCAAACCAUGUACAUAAAACUGAAUACUUUUGCCAUAGCCUGGAUCAACAAAGUGCAAUGUAGUAAGAAGCAGGGCAUCCGAUACAAUUGUAAAUUACCAGUUGCCAUCUUUUUUCAGAAACAAAAUGCU